Pelobates cultripes (western spadefoot toad) is the source of this 95-nucleotide non-coding RNA. Lineage: Eukaryota; Metazoa; Chordata; Amphibia; Anura; Pelobatidae. The record is from the annotation of a GenBank genome assembly.
UCUUUAACAGGUUACGGAUGUAGCUGUGCUUUGGAGUGAUUGAUAAUACAUACCGUAUUAUCAAUCACGCCAAAGCACAGCAACACCCGUAACCU